UACAGAGGGUGCAAACGUUGCUCGGAAUUAUUGGGCGUAAAGCGCACGUAGGCGGUGUGUUAAGUCGGGUGUGAAAGCCCUAGGCUCAACCUAGGAAGUGCACUCGAAACUGGCACGCUUGAGUAUGGAAGAGGGUCGCGGAAUUCCCGGUGUAGAGGUGAAAUUCGUAGAUAUCGGGAGGAACACCAGUGGCGAAGGCGGCGACCUGGGCCAAUACUGACGCUGAGGUGCGAAAGCGUGGGGAGCAAACAGG
RNAcentral lists this ribosomal RNA (253 nucleotides) under uncultured bacterium. RNAcentral describes it as "partial 16S ribosomal RNA". It matches the Rfam family "Bacterial small subunit ribosomal RNA", at positions 524 to 776 of the family's 1533-position model. The record is from RNAcentral.